GUGAGGAAUAUUGGUCAAUGGACGAGAGUCUGAACCAGCCAAGUCGCGUGAAGGAAGACGGUUCUAUGAAUUGUAAACUUCUUUUGUGCAGGAAUAAAGUGGGUUACGUGUAACCUUUUGUAUGUACUGUACGAAUAAGGAUCGGCUAACUCCGUGCCAGCAGCCGCGGUAAUACGGAGGAUCCGAGCGUUAUCCGGAUUUAUUGGGUUUAAAGGGUGCGUAGGUGGAUUGAUAAGUCAGCGGUGAAAGUUUGCAGCUUAACUGUAAAAUUGCCGUUGAAACUGUCGGUCUUGAGUGCAAAUGAGGUAGGCGGAAUGUGUUGUGUAGCGGUGAAAUGCUUAGAUAUAACACAGAACUCCGAUUGCGAAGGCAGCUUACUGGGAUGCAACUGACACUGAUGCACGAAAGCGUGGGUAUCAAACAGGAUUAGAUACCCGAGUGUCC
RNAcentral lists this ribosomal RNA (444 nucleotides) under uncultured bacterium. Its description in RNAcentral is "partial 16S ribosomal RNA". It matches the Rfam family "Bacterial small subunit ribosomal RNA", at positions 354 to 796 of the family's 1533-position model. The record is from RNAcentral.